UCAUGUGAACUCUGUUUCGGACUUCGGUGUCUUGGCUCUCCGUGCUCUUUCACCUCAUGCAUUUUGGCGGAUAAACAGCAUCCCAUUUCAUCGAGUUAUGUCCAAGGCCGAUCGAGUUACGUAUCUCUUCUUCCCCUUUCUUAAAUCCUCUGUGUCCUCGUGUACGCCCAUGUGAAUGUGGGUGUAUUCACGGGGACCCCUUUUUGCAGAUCCUACCUGGUGUAUUCAACUUUGCUACGCGGAUGGAGCAAUUCUGGAUGCCUGGCUGUAUUUCCCAGGUAUAAAGAUAGACGAGACGAGUUGAAAAGCUGGGGCGAUAUGUUGCCGAGUGCGAGCGACCAUUAUCUGGAGAGAAUAAAUGAACAACUGAAAACACGGACGCCAUAGAGAGACGAACAACUAAACACAACGCACGACCGACUCUUUUCUUUUCUUCUUUGAUUUUCUAUUUAUCUAAUAACUUUUUUGUGCUGUUGUUGUUGUUGCUGUACGGGAGAAGAAGAAGAAGAAGAAUAAAAAAAAAAGAAUAGACCGCCUUGGUUGCGCUUGUCGAUCCAUCACCACCUCCGGAGCGGCGCGGCCAUCACCACACAAGCUAAGCAAUUAACAUUCAAUUAAUUAAGGGUUUCACUGCCUCACGAUUUCAUUCUUUUUCUUUCAAAAGCCGGAUUUUUAUUUGUGUGUGUGUCUUGUACUUCUACCCCCCACUCAUUAUUUCCCCCUUUUUUGGUUUUUUUUUGCUUUCGAUAUUAUAAAACCCUUAUAGUCAGCGUUUAGCCACCCACCGAUGGCUUCCUUCUCUGCUGGUGGUUUCCCAGCAGCUUCAUAUCAUCUAUUACCGUUCCUCUGCUCACGAACCAAUCCCGCAGUUGCAAUUGCGUCGCUAUGAUAUAAUUUACCUGCAUUUCAAAACGGCCCUCUCUGUGGACUGUCUGGUACUAUACUAAGUCCUCUGACUUGUUUCGUAAUCUAAUUACAAGUCUGAUGAUGGCCAGACUAUCGUGAAAUCAAUGAGGGUCGGGCCAAGACAGCACACACGCAUUCCUCGUCUGUUCUUAUGAAGAAGAGGUGGGGGGAGAGAGAGAGAGCUAUAGAGCUCGGGUGAUGGCGCGGUUUUUGAAAUUAGAGUGGAGCAUCCGCCGGGCAGACGACACACAAGCAUUCCUUUUGCUCAUCUUCGUUCCUCAUUAUUAAAAAGAAAAAAAUGAAAAAAAAAACUAUCUUCUUUCUUUUUUCGAACGAAAAACUUCUUGCGGUGCGCCGUGUAAAUUGCGUGGCUUGUGUGACAUCGUACACCUUCGACCUCAAAUGCGGCGCUGUGUCAUCCAAUCCGUCACCUUGACGGAGAAACGACUUGAAGUGAUUUUUUUCCGAGAAGAAGAAGAAGAAAAAGAAGAAGAAGAAGGAGAGCUCUUAAAUCAGGACAGAGUAUAAGGACAGAGCACACAGCCCAUGGGGUCCAUUUAUGCGGGGGAAAUUUGAACAAGAAGAACAAGGUCUUUCUCUCUCUCUCUUUCUCUCUUUCUCUCUGUGUGGUAUAUAAUUAGGGCUGGUACACAGGAUAAAUGUACAGCCCGGCGCUUGUUCGCUUAUUCACCAAGAAAUCUGCAUUGACCUUUUGCUACGUUUGCUUGCUGCAGACACACACACAACAUCUGCGCGGGGGCCGUUUUCUUCUUCCUCGACUCUCGUCCGCCUCCCUCUUUUGUUUCCACAUUUUGACAGUGUUUUGAUAAACACUUAAUUACAGUGUAUACAUAGUAUAGUUACUAGUACAUAUAUAGUCUCUCCAGAGUAUACCCGUACUACAAAUACGUGUAUGUAUACCUGAUGAAUUGUUCUUAUUCCUCUCCUGAACCGCAAUUAGCAUUGAAGGUAUAUAAUUCAUUUCUCCUUUUCUUUCCAGUUAUUUCCACUUUCGUCUGAUUCUCUCCUCCGCGCGCCCGUUCAAGUGUUUCGAUAUAUUUCAGAAAGGGCUUCACACAUACGAGCGCGCUUUUAUCAUAUAAUUCCAAUGGAGAACACACAUAGGAGGGAAAUUCCGACCCGCAACCCCGGCAGCGUCGAUUGCCCGAUAUUCUGAAGAAGACGAGAAAAAUCUACUGGGAUCCAUCCCAGAGAGAUGCGACCAUCUGGCGCAACACGAAGUUUGUUUUUUUCUUCUUCUUCUUCGAAAUGCUGUAAAGAGCGCGCCGAUUUUAAACUGGGUCGGGACCAUUCGCCGCCCUUUUUUCUUCCCUCGGCGCACCGAAACAGAGAAACAACUCGAAGAAGGUGGAGGGAAAUAAAGAAAAGCCAAAAGAAAAUAAUUUCAAAAAGAAAAAAAAGAAAAAAAAUCCCGAAUUAAAGGGUCAUUCCGCUUGAGUUACGACUCUCUCUCUCUGGUGUAUUUCCCUUUUAUUGAUUUAUCGAAAUAAAAAAUCAAGGGAAAAAUCUAUACGAUUCGUUGCAAUAAAACUACUUCUCCUAAUACCUAUAUACACUCCUACUGCUGAUGGGCUGCUGCUGCUGCCGACCCUUUUUGGGUGAAAUAGAUUAACCGGGGCGGAUAGGCGGAGCUAUUCACUUUAUACACACGGAGAUGGAUCUACGUAUUUCUCUGUGUGUGUGUGUGUGCGUAUACUAAACUAAAGAAGAAGAAGAAGACGAUUACGACAGUGAAGAAGGUGAAAUGGUUUUCUUUUCUUCUUCUUGGCAUAGUCAGCCAUGUUCUA
Molecule: long non-coding RNA, 2714 nt
Filed under: Daphnia pulicaria
Lineage: Eukaryota; Metazoa; Arthropoda; Branchiopoda; Diplostraca; Daphniidae
Description: uncharacterized LOC124337927, transcript variant X2
Source: RNAcentral